AUCUGUGUCUGAAAAAUGUGUAGGUUUUGAAGAGUCCAAUCCACUGUAUAACUCUUGCUUUUAGUAUACAGAACAAACCUUUUAAAAGAGUUCUGGGGGGUUUGUUUUGUUUUGUUUUUGUUUUGCAUUAGUUGGGUGAUCUGAGCCAAGGUAUGUGAGUUUUAUUUCUGGUUGCAAAGUUGACAUAAAGAAAACUUGGAAAACCCAAGAAGAGUCCUGAAAGGAGAGCACAUUACACUGGAAUAUGUUCCAUCACUGGCCAGGACUUUUAAGAACAUGGAGUCAUCAUCAUGGGGAAUGUCCCCUUCCUGAGUGCAAAGCAUGGCUUUCCCAAGACCAGAACCAGCUCAUGAAAAAGAAGAGUCCAGCUGUGGAUGGAGGACCAGGCACUUCUCACCCUUUCCUCUGGCAGGAGUUUGAAGGGAAGGAAGGAAUGGAAGAAGGCUUCAUGUACUCAGCUCUGACCUUGUUCUGAUGCCUGCACUCGGCACUGUCUCAGAUCUCCAGGCAAACCUUCAAGCAAACCUUCAUACAUCACCUUGGCUCUGCCCCAACUUCAUGCCAUGAGGUUCUCAUUUACCCAGCAUUUUCACCCAACACCACAGAACUUUGGUGAAUGAUGGUUAGAACUCAACAAUAGUGAUGUAGGAAUAGGAGUAGGGAAGAGGUAAAUCCCCAUUCUCACUCAAAAUGAGUUAUGAUAUUUUAUUCAUAGCUUGGGUUACUGUCCUAAACAUGCCAAUGACAGCCAAGCUAUAGAAAUUUAAUAGAAAUGUUUAAUAGGUGUGGUUCUUAUAUAAUUUCUUCUCUGGCUUUUUAUAGAUUGAAAUAUGAUUAGCAAAAUGCCCAGAUCUGAAGUAUAAAGCUCUAUGAUUUUUUACCUAUGUAUAUGUUCAUGCGAUUGCUUCUCAGAUCAAGAUUUAGAACAUUUCCAUCACUGGAAGAUUUCUCUUCCUCCACCCAGUUAAUAUUCACCCCUUACCUCCCAAAGCCAGCAGAAUUGAGUAUCUAUCAGUGAAGACUGGUUUUGCCCAUGUUUAGCAUGUAUUUAAAAUGCACAAUAUGAGGAAAAAACCAAUUACAUAAAUCAUUAUACCAAUAACAUCAUUAAAAAUAACUAACACAUACUAAGUGUUGAGUAUGUGCCAGGUACUGGGUCAAAUGCUUUACGUGGACUUUUAUUUCCAUUUAAUCCUAAUAAUACCUCUCAAAUAGACAUAUCACUAUCCAAUUUACAAAGAAAUUCAAGGUUAGAGAGGAUAAAAAAUUUACCCAAGGUCCAGCAGAGGUAGGACCUGGACCAAGUCUAUUAAAUUUUGUUUAAUGUUCUUCAUAAGUUCAUGAGGUUUAAUAGGAAAGUACAUAGACUUUUUAGAGCUUGAACACAGAGGUGUAUUCAGUCCUUCAUCAAAUGAGGAAAUUGUAGGCGAGUUGAAUGAAAACUCAGGUAAGACUCUUUAUCUUUGUGUAAGAUGUAGAUAUAACUUUGCAAAACAAAGCACUGCAUAAUAAUAAUUAAAUGUUAACAUCACUCCAAAUUUUCAUCUGAUUAUAAUAAAUGAAUAUAA
Long non-coding RNA from Artibeus jamaicensis (Jamaican fruit-eating bat), 1568 nucleotides. RefSeq lists it as uncharacterized. The transcript has 3 exons. NCBI's taxonomy places the organism in Eukaryota, Metazoa, Chordata, Mammalia, Chiroptera, Phyllostomidae. The record is from RefSeq and is a predicted model, not a curated record.